ACACAUGCAAGUCGAGGGGCAGCGCGGGAUAGCAAUAUUCUGGCGGCGACCGGCGGAAGGGUGCGUAACGCGUGAGCGACAUGCCCGUUGCCCGGGGACAACCGGUGGAAACGCCGACUAAUCCCCGAUGGGAUACGAUGCUGCAUGGCAUUGUAUUGAAAGUUACGGCGGCGACGGAUUGGCUCGCGUCCGAUUAGCUGGUUGGCGGGGUAACGGCCCACCAAGGCUGCGAUCGGUAGGGGUUCUGAGAGGAAGGCCCCCCACAAUGGGACUGAGACACGGCCCAUACUCCUACGGGAGGCAGCAGUGAGGAAUAUUGGUCAAUGGGCGGAAGCCUGAACCAGCCAUGCCGCGUGCGGGAAGGAGGCCCUAUGGGCUGUGAACCGCUUUUGCCUGGGGGCAAUAAGGGCGUCGCGCACGCCCGAUGAGAGUACCAGGCGAAUAAGCAUCGGCUAACUCCGUGCCAGCAGCCGCGGUAAUACGGGGGAUGCGAGCGUUAUCCGGAUUCAUUGGGUUUAAAGGGUGCGUAGGCUGUGCGUCAAGUCGGGG
Molecule: ribosomal RNA, 549 nt
Filed under: uncultured bacterium
Lineage: Bacteria
Description: bacterial SSU rRNA
Rfam family: Bacterial small subunit ribosomal RNA
Source: RNAcentral